Long non-coding RNA from Xenia sp. Carnegie-2017, 1547 nucleotides. RefSeq lists it as uncharacterized. The transcript is spliced from 3 exons. NCBI's taxonomy places the organism in Eukaryota, Metazoa, Cnidaria, Anthozoa, Malacalcyonacea, Xeniidae. The record is from RefSeq and is a predicted model, not a curated record.
ACUGCCAAAACAACUUGCACUGUUUAAGCAUGAAAACAAACACAAAAAUGCCAGAUCGAUGUGUAGUUUUUGGUUGUUCUAACGUAGCCAGUUCGGAGAAAGGCAUUUCACUUCAUCGCAUACCAUUUUUUAACGACGAAAGAAGCGAAGCUAAGCGUAGGAGAAAGCGAUAAGUGGGUCCCCACAAAGAAUUCCGCAGUUUGCUCGUAACACUUCACGAAAGAUUCGUUUUCUCGGCAAUUCGGCUCGUUUUCUGAAUCAGAAAGUAAUUUUGCACCUCGACUCAUUCGACACGAAUUCGGAAUCGUUGCUUACCCAGGCAUUUAUCCUCGAAAAGAUGACAAUGAACUUAAAACAAAAGAUCGCAGAAUGGUGAGUACGUUAAAAAUUAUACAUAUGCAUAUCUACAUUUUACCUGGAAUCUGUGUGAGAGUAUAUUUCAUAAAUAUAUGCCAUUUUAGAUGAAAAGAAAGUGGAUGUCUGAUUAUAAAAGAGGUUGAAUCAGAAAAUAUUCCCAGUACAAGUAGCGAACCUCAAGAGCAAAUAGAAGAAACAACUUGUGAUGAGCCUGUAUUAUCAGAAAUGAUCAGCUACUCUUUUCCUGGAAUGUUCUGCAGGCAUAUCCUUGUUGUAACUCACUUCGAAAGCAAUUUGGAUGGGGAUAAUCAAGAGGUUAAUGGAGUUCCCCAGGUUAAAGUGCAUUAUCCAAAAUUUAUAAAUGGUGAAGCUGUUGUAAGAAUGUAAAAGUUGCUCAGGAUUUUGGGUAUGUUGAAGAUAUAUAUCAAGUGUUGUGCUCUGCAUUCAUUGAUGAGGAAACAUUGAGAAAAGCCAAAGCUGAUCUUUUACGAAUGACUCCAUUGCCAAUGAAUUCCAUGUUGGACAAGCAAUCAAAAAGUGAAGCUAUCUCAACAAAAGCAAGAAGACAAAGCAUGCCAGCUGUACAUUUCCCCCCAACUAAGCCAGGUUUAGCAAAAAGGCAUUACUUGCUUUGAGUGAAUUUGAAUCUUAUUUUUGGAACUGACUCACUUUAUUGUUUGAUAUAACUGAAGUAUCACCUGUCCAUUCCUAUUUUCAUUCCGGAUCGAAAUUUAGUUUUAAUCUCAUGUAAACGCAAAUUGAGUUUCAUUUUGGAAUGAUAUUGUGAUUAAUGACGAAGCACGCAUGUGCCAUGGGUAUUGUCUUCUGGCAAAUUGAAGCUCGUAAGCAAAUAAAGCAGCUAAAUGGGCUAAAAUGAGUGCGAAGAAAAACAACAAUUAGUUUCAUGCAAGUGUUAAGCUGUAUUAACGCAGGAGCAACAGAAAAAAAAGGGUUGCUAUAAUGUUUAUGUUCUCCAUCUUCAAAUUUCAAAAUUCCUGCAAAAUGUCAAUCCUUGUUUUGAUUUCCCAUGUACACACGGAUUGACGUCACGUUUCGAUCGGGAUUGAAAGUCAUUCCGGACUCAUGUAAAAACCCCCUAACAAAGGUCAUCCUUGGGUAAAGAUGCAAACGUUUGGUAAAGUGUAGAGCUUUAUCUUACAUACAGAACAUGAAUUAAAAAUGAAAUUUCA